AAUGUGGUUGGUAGGAAAUUUGUGCUUGGGGAAAAAGAUUUCAAGCUUGUCGGGUUUUGUGGUCGGUCCGGUGAUGCUAUUGAUGCUCUUGGUGCACAUUUUGCGCCUCUUCCACCUCCACCUCCAGCUCCAGCUCCUACUCCGGAUCCCUCUACCACAAAGAUGGGACCGCUAGGUGGUGACAAGGGAAAAACGUUUGACGAUGGUGUUUUGAAUGGUGUGAAGAAAGUAACCAUUGGAGCAGAUGAAUACAGUAUAACUUAUAUCAAGAUCGAAUAUGAAAAUAAUGGAAAAGUUGAAACCCGUGAACACGGGACUAAUCGCGGGGAGCUAAAAGAGGUACAAUAUUUGUAAAACAUAUUUUUAAAAUAUUUUUGUUAACAUAUUCAGUUGGUUCACUAUUAAUUGGUGGUUUCUAUUUUCAUAUGAAAUACAGUUUUCGGUGGCUUAUCCGAAUGAAUAUAUCACAGCCGUUGGUGGAAGCUACAAGCAUAUUUUCAACUACGAUACAACCCUUGUUAAAUCACUAUACUUUACAACUUCCAAAGGAUCUACCUCUCCAUUAUUCGGUGAGCUAAAGGGAACAGAAUUUGAGUUCAAAGAUGAAAAUGGAGGAAAUCUUGUUGGAUUCCAUGGACGUGGUGGUUAUGCUAUUGAUGCCAUUGGUGUACAUUUUGGUCCAGCUCCAAAAUCUUCUACACCGACUCCUCCCAACAAGUUUUCCAAGGUCUACAUUACAUCUGGAAAUGAAGGAAUUGAGGAAAUCAAGUUUUAUAAUGUAGAAAACGGAGAGACAAAGGAAGUGUUUCUUCAUGGUGUGAAGGGUAAAAAUCUCAUUUCAACGGUGCGUUUAUUACAUUUUUACACUCUGGGAUAAAAGUUUAUUUAUGCAUUAAUUAAUCAUAUUUUGAUCUGAGUUUUGCAUGUAAUUUCUCCAGCUUGUUAUUAGCAAUCCUCCUGAUGAGUGUCUCGUUUCUGUCGAGAGUUGGUACAAUUCUUACGAUGUUUCUCAAGGAAUUCAGUUUAAAACUGAAAAGAGCGGUUCCGAUUUCUUUGGAUAUAAGUUUUCUGAGGAUGUUGGUAAACCAUUUUCUCUCCAAGUCAAGGAUAAGAAGAUCAUCGGCGUUCAGAAGUUCCAUGACUCGAAUCUCAUAUCUCCUGGAACGUACUUUGUACUAUCCCGUUCCUCUUCUCCCAACAAAGUGGAAGCUAUAGGAGGAAAGGGUGGAGAAACAUUUGACGAUGGUGCUUUUGAUCAUGUAAGAAAAGUUUUUGUUGCUAAAGGCGAUUCCGGUAUAGCUUAUGUCAAGUUCGAAUACGAAAAAGACGGCAGAAGAGUGACACAGGAGCACGGACAAAAGACAUCUCAAGAAACGGAGGUGUUCGAGGUAGGUCAAGACGAUGACAUCACAUCUGUGAAAGCUUACUACGAAAAACUCGAUGCCUCGAAGACAGAAACUAUAACGUAUCUUGCAUUCAAGACUCUGAAGGGAGUAAACUCUCAGCCGUUUGGAAAGACCCCUGUUAUUGUAAAUGAGCAAACAAAAUUGUCUUUGCUUGAAGGUGGCAAAAUCACUGGUUUUCAUGGAAGCUCGACGGACGUUCUUCAUUCUAUCGGAGCUUAUAUUUCGACUUCUCCUCCGACGAUGUUGCAUGGCAAGUGGAUCCAGGUACGUACGUAGUAUGGAUGGUUAUACGGAUCGGUAUGGUUAGACAUAUUCAAUUUUUUCGAUCAUUCGGUUAAUUAGGAGAUUUCAUAUUUCAGUAGAAAUCAAUCAGUUCGUCUUUGAUUUUUUGAAACAUAAAAGUAAAUAUUAUUUUGUUACAAAAUAUAAUAGUAUGCAAAUUUGUUGUAUUAUAUCAAGUUUUCUUAUAGGUACUGGUUCAAAAUUCAAAAUUCUCGAAUAGAUUAUAUAUGGUUCGAUUCAUAUAUUCUUUAAUUAGCGACCUAGUGCGUACGUAGUAAUACUUCUCGUGAAAAAAAGAUUAUUGUUUCAUGUGUAACCGUGACAUUAAUUGUGUUAAGAAACAUUUGGUGACUAUCAUUACUAGGUGGAACAAAAUGGAAAGACUCCUGGACCAAGAUGUUCACAUGCUAUAGCAAUGGUUGGAAACAAAAUGUACUCUUUCGGGGGAGAGUUAAAGCCGAAUUUUCACAUCGAUCGAGACCUCUACUUCUUCGAUUUGGAGACUCGCAGAUGGUCGCUUGCUGAUCCAGACGGUGAUGUUCCUGAGCUCCCUUGCUUAGGCGUUUGCAUGGUAGCCAUCGGCACUACACUCUAUGUCUUUGGUGGCCGCGACGGCUUCCGUAAUUACAAUGGCUUCUACUCUUACGACACGGUUAAAAGCGAGUGGAAACUCAUAACUCACGUCAACAAUGGACCUGCACCGCGUAGCUUCCACUCUAUGGCUGCUGAUUGCAAUAAUAUUUAUAUCUUUGGUGGAGUGACUACUAAGGAACGUGUCAACACACUUCAUGCUUACAACAUCGUUGAUAAAAAGUGGACUGAGCUUCCGAAUCCAGGAGAGUCUUGCAAAGGGAGAGGUGGAGCGGGGCUUGCGGUUGUGCAAGGGAAGAUUUGGGUUGUUUAUGGGUUUAUUGGGGAAGAAGUCGAAGAUGUUCAUUGCUUUGAUCCAGUUGAAAGUAAGUGGACUAAAGUGGAAACAAGAGGUGAAAAGCCGUGGGGUAAGUUUUCCUUAAGUAUACGACUAAAAACAUUAAAAUGACAUGUAUCAAUUCGAUGGUUGAUUUGAAAGCUUUCAAAACCAUAUGGAAGAUAAAAGUCAAAAUAAUUCAAAUGUGAAAACAAUACUGUUCACUUUUUUCAAGAAUGUGUUCGAUAGAAAAAAAUAAGGUUUUUAUGUCAUAAUUUGUUUAAUGUCCAAUACGAUCAACCCAUGAUGUAUUAAUUAUAGUUUUAUUCCAUUAUUUUUAAUAAAAAAUGAUCCGAUCCAUCGGAAAAAAAUAUAUAAUAACAACAAAAAAUAUUUUAUGUAUACAAAUAAAAUGAUCAAAUAUAUAAAAAAACUAUCGAUAAUAUAUACAAAUAAACUCACCCUGCGCAAAACGCAGGUCUUAUCCUAGUGAAAUAUUAAAAAGCAACAAUAAUUAAUGUCAGAAUAAAAAGGGAGAAAUGUGAGCAUAGUGUGUAUAACGUGUGGGAUGAUAUAUUUUUUUUUUGGUUUAAAUGUGUACGUGAGAAAGUAUAAGCAAAAGUAAAGAAGUAAAAUUUACAUGAAGUGUAUAAAUAGAGAUUAGCACCUCUAAUAAUACCAUAUCACGCUCACUCAUACCUCGAACCCUAAGAGUAACACAAACCCUCAAGAGUCAGGUCUCUCCCUCUCCCUCUAUCUCUCUAUAUGUUACUACAAGUUUCCUGAUUUUCCUGUUUUAACUACAAUCAUGUCAAAGACUCAAAGGAAACAGAAACACUAACUCAGCGGAGACAUUUUCUUCCUUUUUUUCUUUAGUGAUAUAUAUAAAAACAGAGUUUGUGUUAUUCUUAGUUUGUUUUGAAAGAAGAAUUUCGCUGCUUUUCCAGGUUUUCGUUGAAGUUAGAAGAUGAACACAACGUUUGAAAAAGUGGGAGCAGUGGGUGGUAACAAAGGCGGACCAUUUGACGAUGGUGUUUUCGAUGGUGUGAAGAAAAUAACUGUCGGAAAAGACUGGGACUGUGUUUCUUAUAUCAAAAUUGAGUACGAGAAGGAGAAGGACGGAAAAUUUGAAACCCGUGAACAUGGGACCAUUCGUGGAGAACUUCAAGAGGUUAUAGAUCCUGACUUUGUUAUUCUUCAAUAUGUUCUUAUUAUACCUUUAUCGCAAUUUACAUUUGUUGUUUCUAAUGGAAAAUGAAAUCUAGUUCACGGUGGAUUAUCCGAACGAAUAUAUCACAUCUGUUGGUGGAAGCUACGAACACGUUUUAAGCUAUGGAACAGUGCUGAUCAAAUCUUUACGCUUCAAAACCUCAUAUGGAAGGACCUCUCCGAUACUCGGUCGUACGACCUUAUUUCGAAACCCAGCUGGGAGAGAAUUCAUGCUCGAGGGUAAAAAUGGUGGAAAGCUUCUAGGUUUCCAUGGACGUUCUGGUCAAGCUCUUGAUGCCAUUGGAGCUCACUUCUUCGCUGUGAAGUCUCCUCUUAAGCACUUUAACCUUCAAGGUGGGAAUGGAGGGAGUGCUUGGGAUGAUGGCGCUUUCGACGGUGUUAGAAAAAUACUCGUUGGACGAGGUGGUAAAUUUGUGAGUUAUGUGAGGUUUGAGUAUGCAAAAGGCCGAGGAAUGGUGCCACAUGCUCAUGGGAAGAGACAAGAAGUUCCCCAAGAGGUAUUAAUUGUUGACAUAAAAUAUAUGUAGUUUUGUGCUUGUUGAAUUUUUUUAAAAAAUGUUGCAGUUCGUGGUGGAUUACCCUAAUGAGCAUAUUACGGUAGUGGAGGGAACCAUCGAUGGCUACCUUACAUCGCUAAGGUUUAAGACAUCAAAAGGAAGAACCUCCCCUGCUUUUGGCAAUGUGGUUGGUAGGAAAUUUGUGCUUGGGGAAAAAGAUUUCAAGCUUGUCGGGUUUUGUGGUCGGUCCGGUGAUGCUAUUGAUGCUCUUGGUGCACAUUUUGCGCCUCUUCCACCUCCACCUCCAGCUCCAGCUCCUACUCCGGAUCCCUCUACCACAAAGAUGGGACCGCUAGGUGGUGACAAGGGAAAAACGUUUGACGAUGGUGUUUUGAAUGGUGUGAAGAAAGUAACCAUUGGAGCAG
RNAcentral lists this long non-coding RNA (4747 nucleotides) under Brassica napus (rape). Its description in RNAcentral is "long non-coding RNA (BNAP_LNC014681)". The record is from RNAcentral. Lineage: Eukaryota; Viridiplantae; Streptophyta; Magnoliopsida; Brassicales; Brassicaceae.